Molecule: ribosomal RNA, 514 nt
Filed under: uncultured Acaulospora
Lineage: Eukaryota; Fungi; Glomeromycota; Glomeromycetes; Diversisporales; Acaulosporaceae
Description: SSU rRNA
Rfam family: Eukaryotic small subunit ribosomal RNA
Source: RNAcentral
AGCAGCCGCGGUAAUUCCAGCUCCAAUAGCGUAUAUUAAAGUUGUUGCAGUUAAAAAGCUCGUAGUUGAAUUUCGGAAUUUGUCGGUUGGUCGGGCUUCACUGUCCGCACUGACCUGAUGAAUUCCUACCUUCUGAAUAACCAGCAUGCUAUUAAGUUAGUGCGUUGGGGAAGCAGAGCUAUUACCUUGAAAAAUUAGAGUGCUUAAAGCAGGCUUGUGCUUGAAUAGAUUAGCAUGGAAUAAUAAAAUAGGACGGCAUGGUUCUAUUUUGUUGGUUUCUAGGAUCACCGUAAUGAUUAAUAGGGAUAGUUGGGGGCAUUAGUAUUCAAUUGUCAGAGGUGAAAUUCUUGGAUUUAUUGAAGACUAACUUCUGCGAAAGCAUUUGCCAAGGAUGUUUUCAUUAAUCAAGAACGAAAGUUAGGGGAUCGAAGACGAUCAGAUACCGUCGUAGUCUUAACCAUAAACUAUGCCGACUAGGGAUCGGACGAUGUUAAUUUUUAAUGACUCGUUCGCG